AUGUACUGUAGCUCCUUGCUUGCGAGUACUUUGGAUGAGUACUCAUGGUUGCUUUUCCCCCCCCUUUUCCUCCUUUUCUAUACCCGAUUGCUGCGACCAGACGAUGGUGUCCAGGAGCCAGACGCCACUGUCGAUGACGACUACUACUACUCGGGAGGUGCCUACUACUACGUGCAGCCUGCUGACGACGACGAGGAGUUGUUUAGGAGCAUCCCAGGCAGGAGGAUCCCAGGCAGGAGGCCUGCGCCUCUUUCAAUCUGUAUCCCAGUUUGUGCUAGCCUUCUUAAGGCAAACUUGUUUAACUUAUGUCUGUACUCAGAUAUUGUUGGUUCCACUGACUCGUCUAUGAUCGAGCUCUUGUAUUCGAGCCCUCGAGGCCCCUGGCUUGUAAUAUGA
RNAcentral lists this ribosomal RNA (396 nucleotides) under Triticum aestivum (bread wheat). RNAcentral's name for it is "partial small subunit ribosomal RNA". The record is from RNAcentral. Lineage: Eukaryota; Viridiplantae; Streptophyta; Magnoliopsida; Poales; Poaceae.